RNAcentral lists this ribosomal RNA (216 nucleotides) under uncultured bacterium. Its description in RNAcentral is "partial 16S ribosomal RNA". It matches the Rfam family "Bacterial small subunit ribosomal RNA", at positions 326 to 539 of the family's 1533-position model. The record is from RNAcentral.
ACGCUCGACACCUACGAGGCAGCAGUGAGGAAUAUUGGUCAAUGGACGCAAGUCUGAACCAGCCAUGCCGCGUGCAGGAUGACGGCUCUAUGAGUUGUAAACUGCUUUUGUACGAGGGUAAACGCAGAUACGUGUAUCUGUCUGAAAGUAUCGUACGAAUAAGGAUCGGCUAACUCCGUGCCCACAGCCGCGGUAAUCUGAGCGGGCUGGCAAGGC